RNAcentral lists this unclassified non-coding RNA (287 nucleotides) under plant metagenome. RNAcentral describes it as "partial contains small subunit ribosomal RNA, internal transcribed spacer 1, and 5.8S ribosomal RNA". The stretch from base 239 to 287 matches the Rfam family "5.8S ribosomal RNA", at positions 1 to 49 of the family's 154-position model. The record is from RNAcentral.
UUUCCGUAGGUGAACCUGCGGAAGGAUCAUUAUCGUACAAAAUGUGAGGGGCAUGCGAGGGCUGUCGCUGACCCAAAAGUCAUGCACGCCCGAGUGUGUCCUCUUGCAUAAUAAUCCAUCUCACCCUUUGUGCAUCACCGCGUGGGCACCCUUCGGGAUCAUCUCGGAGGGGGGCUCGCGUUUUCACACAAACCCCCCUUUUAAAAGUGUAGAAUGACCACAUUUAUGCAAUCAAUACAACUUUCAACAACGGAUCUCUUGGCUCUCGCAUCGAUGAAGAACUCAGC